UACGUAGGUUCCGAGCGUUGUCCGGAUUUAUUGGGCGUAAAGCGAGCGCAGGUGGUUUAUUAAGUCUGGUGUAAAAGGCAGUGGCUCAACCAUUGUAUGCAUUGGAAACUGGUAGACUUGAGUGCAGGAGAGGAGAGUGGAAUUCCAUGUGUAGCGGUGAAAUGCGUAGAUAUAUGGAGGAACACCGGUGGCGAAAGCGGCUCUCUGGCCUUAACCUGACGCUGAGGAGCGAAAGCUAGGGGAGCAAACGGG
Molecule: ribosomal RNA, 252 nt
Filed under: uncultured microorganism
Description: partial 16S ribosomal RNA
Rfam family: Bacterial small subunit ribosomal RNA
Source: RNAcentral